GACGAACGCUGACGGUGUGCUUUAGACAUGCAAGUCGAACGAGAAAGCCCUUCGGGGUGAGUAAAGUGACGAACGGGUGAGUAACACGUGGGCAAUCUGCCCCUCGCAGGGGGACAACCGGGGGAAACCCCGGCUAAUACCCCGUACGCUUUCGGAGUCGCAUGGCUCCGUGAGGAAAGGUAGCUUCGGCCAUCCGGCGAGGGAUGAGCCCGCGGUACAUUAGCUAGUUGGUGGGGUAACGGCCCACCAAGGCGACGAUGUAUAGCUGGUCUGAGAGGAUGAUCAGCCACACUGGGACUGAGACACGGCCCAGACUCCUACGGGAGGCAGCAGUCGGGAAUCUUGCGCAAUGGGCGAAAGCCUGACGCAGCAACACCGUGUGAGCGACGAAGGCCUUCGGGUCGUAAAGCUCUGUUGUUGGGGACGAAGGGCGAAGGGUUAAUAGCCCCUAGCUUGACGGUACCCUUCGAGGAAGCCCCGGCUAACUACGUGCCAGCAGCCGCGGUAAUACGUAGGGGGCGAGCGUUGUCCGGAAUUAUUGGGCGUAAAGAGCGUGUAGGCGGUU
Molecule: ribosomal RNA, 565 nt
Filed under: uncultured Actinomycetes bacterium
Lineage: Bacteria; Bacillati; Actinomycetota; Actinomycetes
Description: bacterial SSU rRNA
Rfam family: Bacterial small subunit ribosomal RNA
Source: RNAcentral